CAGUCGCCGCGGUAAUACGUAGGGUGCAAGCGUUAAUCGGAAUUACCGGGCGUAAAGCGUGCGCAGGCGGUUUGUUAAGACAGAUGUGAAAUCCCCGGGCUCAACCUGGGAACUGCAUUUGUGACUGGCAAGCUAGAGUGUGGCAGAGGGGGGUGGAAUUCCGCGUGUAGCGGUGAAAUGCGUAGAUAUGCGGAUGAACACCGAUGGCGAAGGCAGCCCCCUGGGCCAACACUGACGCUCAUGCACGAAAGCGUGGGGAGCAAACAGGAUUAGAGACCCGGGUAGUCCCUGUCUCUUAUAC
RNAcentral lists this ribosomal RNA (301 nucleotides) under uncultured bacterium. RNAcentral's name for it is "partial 16S ribosomal RNA". It matches the Rfam family "Bacterial small subunit ribosomal RNA", at positions 509 to 807 of the family's 1533-position model. The record is from RNAcentral.